AACGAACGCUGGCGGCAUGCCUAACACAUGCAAGUCGAACGAGACCUUCGGGUCUAGUGGCGCACGGGUGCGUAACGCGUGGGAACCUGCCCUUAGGUUCGGAAUAACUCCCCGAAAGGGGUGCUAAUACCGGAUAAUGUCUUCGGACCAAAGAUUUAUCGCCUUUGGAUGGGCCCGCGUUGGAUUAGCUAGUUGGUAGGGUAAAAGCCUACCAAGGCGACGAUCCAUAGCUGGUCUGAGAGGAUGAUCAGCCACACUGGGACUGAGACACGGCCCAGACUCCUACGGGAGGGAGCAGUGGGGAAUAUUGGACAAUGGGCGAAAGCGUGAUCCAGCAAUGCCGCGUGAGUGAUGAAGGCCUUAGGGUUGUAAAGCUCUUUUACCCGGGAUGAUAAUGACAGUACCGGGAGAAUAAGCUCCGGCUAACUCCGUG
This 433-nucleotide ribosomal RNA is filed under the name uncultured bacterium. RNAcentral's name for it is "partial 16S ribosomal RNA". It matches the Rfam family "Bacterial small subunit ribosomal RNA", at positions 29 to 507 of the family's 1533-position model. The record is from RNAcentral.